CGUAGGGCGCGAGCGUUGUCCGGAAUUAUUGGGCGUAAAGAGCUCGUAGGCGGCUUGUCGCGUCUGCUGUGAAACGCGGGGCUUAACUCCGCGCUUGCAGUGGGUACGGGCAGGCUUGAGUGUAGUAGGGGAGACUGGAAUUCCUGGUGUAGCGGUGGAAUGCGCAGAUAUCAGGAGGAACACCGAUGGCGAAGGCAGGUCUCUGGGCUAUAACUGACGCUGAGGAGCGAAAGCAUGGGGAGCGAACAGGAUU
Molecule: ribosomal RNA, 253 nt
Filed under: uncultured bacterium
Lineage: Bacteria
Description: partial 16S ribosomal RNA
Rfam family: Bacterial small subunit ribosomal RNA
Source: RNAcentral